This is a non-coding RNA of Spinacia oleracea (spinach), 49 nucleotides long. Lineage: Eukaryota; Viridiplantae; Streptophyta; Magnoliopsida; Caryophyllales; Amaranthaceae. The record is from Rfam.
GCCUCUUUAGCUCAGCUGGUAGAGCAACUGACUUGUAAUCAGUAGGUCA